UGAGAAAAACAAUUAUUUAGCUCAUACUGUUUUGCAAGUAAACUCUUCUUUUCUCUUGUCUUCUGAAUGUACAAAUAAAGUUUAAAUAGGAAAAGUAUUAAGGCAAAUUUAACAGUUGAAUUUGCUUUUUUAAUGUUAUUUUAUUUAACUUGUUCCACUGUUUUUUUAAGUUAAAUAAUU
Long non-coding RNA from Etheostoma cragini (Arkansas darter), 180 nucleotides. RefSeq lists it as uncharacterized. The record is from RefSeq and is a predicted model, not a curated record. The transcript is spliced from 3 exons. Lineage: Eukaryota; Metazoa; Chordata; Actinopteri; Perciformes; Percidae.